Molecule: long non-coding RNA, 2248 nt
Filed under: Sus scrofa (pig)
Lineage: Eukaryota; Metazoa; Chordata; Mammalia; Artiodactyla; Suidae
Description: lncRNA (ENSSSCG00040038793.1)
Source: RNAcentral
UGCCUUUAUUAUAUGUAAAUUAUACUUUUUUUUCUUUUUUGGCAGCUCCACAGUAUACGAAGUUCCCAGACCAGGGAUCAGAUCCGAGCUGCUGUUGCGAUCUACAGCUCAGCUGCGGCAAUGCUGGAUCCUUUAAUCCACUGUGCUGGGCCAGGGAUCGAAGCUGUGACCUGGCACUGCAGAGACACCGCUGAUCCCACUGUGCCCACAAUGGGAACUCCAUAAAUUAUACUUCAAAAGUUUUGGUUGUUUUUAAUCCAGGUCGUCAGUGCACUUGCCCCCACCACUCAGGUGACAUCCAGUCAUGCUGUUACAGAUGCGUCUCCUUGUGACCUGCAAGGGUUAUUCCUACCCCCAGUGGGUAUCAGAAUGUCAUCUGGGGAAGUUCCCGUUGUGGCCCAGCAGUAAUGAGCCCAACUAGUAUACAUGAGGAUGCAGGUUCCAUCCCUGGCCUCGCUCAGUGGGCCAGAACCUCAUGGAUACUAGUCCAGCUCAUUACCGCUGAGCCACAAUGGGAACUCCAGGAUGACUUUUGUAUAGACUGACUUUAAGCUUUACAAAAUGCUGAAUUAUUACACGUUCCUCAUCGGGAGAGGGCAGUCAGGAAAGCUCACCAGGGGCCAACAUUGUUUUUCACCACCGUGACCUUCCUGGAAUUGAAUUCCAACACCACAGACCACAGCCUAACCGGGCAGGAUGCUGGGAGGCCUCCCCAGAGUGGACCCCCCACACUCAUGGCCUCUGCCUGCCAUUUUAUCUAUAGAAAAACUUUAAUCAAAGAGGUAAUUUAAUCACAGAAGUGAGAAAAUACAGAGAAAGAAGAAAACCGUAAAUUUAGCCAUUCGACAGGUCAAAGACCUUCAGUUCUUCAAAGGCUAUAGAUAACAUUCUGAGCCAUGUCCUUGGGGCUGUUUUGCAGGUGCUGAAGCCCCCACCAGGUGGAAGAAGCCAACUGUAUGCUGCCCGCAAGCACGCAGACCCCAGACUGGCUGGAACCAAAGGUUGAUGACGCUGACUCCCAAUUACUUCAUCAGCAACCAAUCAGAAAAAUGUCCAUGAGUUGAUCACAUCCUGCUCCUCAAACACUCCUCAAAGACGCCUCACUACUCCCUCUGAGGGGCGCACAGUCCUGGAAGCACUAGCCCACUGUGUUCCCCCUUUGCCCAGCAAUUAAAGCGACUUUUUCUGUUUGCUCCAACUCUGACUCUGCAUUUCUAUUUGGCAUCGAUGUACAGAGGCAGCCGACAUUUCGGCAACAAUAGUGCUUUGCGGGGACGUAUGAGUGGGCUCAGGGUGGAUCUAGGUACUUGCUAAGAGUCCAACCUGUGUCAGGGGGGAGGGAGGGAUGGAGUGGUGGUUGGGGAUGGCAUUUGCCCAGAGGUAAACGGAAUGACUGGCCAACAAGGACCUGCUGUAUAACAGUAGAGAACUCUACACAAUAGUCUGUGAUCAUCUAUGUGGGAAAAGAAUCUGAAAGAUAAAGUACAGUCUGUGUAAAAACUGUCACUCAAAUCUGAUGCUCCUGACCACCCAGCUGGUGGCUCACCUCCUUCCCAGGUUUGAGGGCCCAUGACGCCUGUCUCCUCUAGUGGUUCCCUAUGCACCACAUUAGAACCACCUGGGCUGGAGCUUUUCAAACUGCAGACUCCCACGUCCCACUCCUGGAGAGCUGGUCCAAUAGUUUCAGGAGAGGGUCUCGUGGUCACCGAAUAGAGGCACCUCAGCCCUUGUGCCCCCAACAUUCAACCCUAGAAGAUGACUGACCGGAAGCUGUCAGCACCAGGUCCUAAAAAGCAGGGCUGAGAACGGGACAGGGGCACCCAGCCUGCACGGCAGCACCGAGGCCAAGAGAAAGCAGCGCUGCCUGCAGGCUGUGCUGGUGCUGAUGACAAGGCCAGAGCAUGGAGCUGGGGGCCUGGGACUCUCCACAUUCAAGGCCCAAGUGGGAGGCUCAACGGGGGCCGGGGGGGCGCACAGUGUGGCAGAACGUCAGCACCACGUGUGGAUUCACAGGGAAAGUGCAUCCCUGGGCUGCCAGGACAACACUGCCCCACCUGGUUUCUCCCCACACAGAGACUCCCCUCCACCGUCUCACUGAGCCCCUGGCUUCAGAAGGAAGAUGCUGCAAUGCCAUGGAAAUUGCACUUACCAACAUCCGAAAACUCGUGUAGAGCUUGAGAGGACUCGUUCUAUGGAACUACUUGGGGACAAAGUCUUAUGAGUUGCUAGGCCACCAGGCCCCGCUGGC